CCAACGGCUCUUUUAAGAGCCACCCAAAUUAUCUCAAAAAGGGCUG
This is a non-coding RNA of Haliaeetus albicilla (white-tailed eagle), 46 nucleotides long. The record is from Rfam. NCBI's taxonomy places the organism in Eukaryota, Metazoa, Chordata, Aves, Accipitriformes, Accipitridae.